GAUGAACGCUGGCGGCGUGCCUAAUACAUGCAAGUCGAGCGAACAGACGAGGAGCUUGCUCCUCUGACGUUAGCGGCGGACGGGUGAGUAACACGUGGAUAACCUACCUAUAAGACUGGGAUAACUUCGGGAAACCGGAGCUAAUACCGGAUAAUAUAUUGAACCGCAUGGUUCAAUAGUGAAAGACGGUUUUGCUGUCACUUAUAGAUGGAUCCUCGCCGCAUUAGCUAGUUGGUAAGGUAACGGCUUACCAAGGCAACGAUGCGUAGCCGACCUGAGAGGGUGAUCGGCCACACUGGAACUGAGACACGGUCCAGACUCCUACGGGAAGCAGCAGUAGGGAAUCUUCCGCAAUGGGCGAAAGCCUGACGGAGCAACGCCGCGUGAGUGAUGAAGGUCUUCGGAUCGUAAAACUCUGUUAUUAGGGAAGAACAAAUGUGUAAGUAACUAUGCACGUCUUGACGGUACCUAAUCAGAAAGCCACGGCUAACUACGUG
RNAcentral lists this ribosomal RNA (497 nucleotides) under uncultured bacterium. RNAcentral's name for it is "partial 16S ribosomal RNA". It matches the Rfam family "Bacterial small subunit ribosomal RNA", at positions 28 to 507 of the family's 1533-position model. The record is from RNAcentral.